RNAcentral lists this ribosomal RNA (458 nucleotides) under uncultured bacterium. RNAcentral describes it as "bacterial SSU rRNA". It matches the Rfam family "Bacterial small subunit ribosomal RNA", at positions 338 to 793 of the family's 1533-position model. The record is from RNAcentral.
CCUACGGGAGGCAGCAGUGAGGAAUAUUGGGCAAUGGAGGCAACUCCGACCCAGCCAUGCCGCGUGCAGGAAGACUGCCCUAUGGGUUGUAAACUGCUUUUAUACAAGAAGAAACACUGGUAUGUAUACCAGCUUGACGGUACUGUAAGAAUAAGGACCGGCUAACUCCGUGCCAGCAGCCGCGGUAAUACGGAGGGUCCAAGCGUUAUUCGGAAUUAUUGGGUUUAAAGGGUCCGCAGGCGGUCGAUUAAGUCAGAGGUGAAAUCCCAUAGCUCAACUAUGGAACUGCCUUUGAAACUGGUUGACUUGAGUCAUAUAGAGGGAGAUAGAAUGUGUAGUGUAGCGGUGAAAUGCAUAGAUAUUACACAGAAUACCGAUGGCGAAGGCAGCUUACUGGCUCAUUACUGACGCUGAGGGACGAAAGCGUGGGGAGCGAACAGGAUUAGAUACCCUGGUAG